Molecule: ribosomal RNA, 948 nt
Filed under: uncultured Gammaproteobacteria bacterium
Lineage: Bacteria; Pseudomonadati; Pseudomonadota; Gammaproteobacteria
Description: bacterial SSU rRNA
Rfam family: Bacterial small subunit ribosomal RNA
Source: RNAcentral
AGUAGGUGGGGUAACGGCUCACCUAGGCGACGAUCCCUAGCUGGUCUGAGAGGAUAACCAGCCACACUGGAACUGAGACACGGUCCAGACUCCUACGGGAGGCAGCAGUAGGGAAUAUUGCACAAUGGGCGCAAGCCUGAUGCAGCCAUGCCGCGUGUAUGAAGAAGGCCUUCGGGUUGUAAAGUACUUUCAGCGGGGAGGAAGGGAGUAAAGUUAAUACCUUUGCUCAUUGACGUUACCCGCAGAAGAAGCACCGGCUAACUCCGUGCCAGCAGCCGCGGUAAUACGGAGGGUGCAAGCGUUAAUCGGAAUUACUGGGCGUAAAGCGCACGCAGGCGGUUUGUUAAGUCAGAUGUGAAAUCCCCGGGCUCAACCUGGGAACUGCAUCUGAUACUGGCAAGCUUGAGUCUCGUAGAGGGGGGUAGAAUUCCAGGUGUAGCGGUGAAAUGCGUAGAGAUCUGGAGGAAUACCGGUGGCGAAGGCGGCCCCCUGGACGAAGACUGACGCUCAGGUGCGAAAGCGUGGGGAGCAAACAGGAUUAGAUACCCUGGUAGUCCACGCCGUAAACGAUGUCGACUUGGAGGUUGUGCCCUUGAGGCGUGGCUUCCGGAGCUAACGCGUUAAGUCGACCGCCUGGGGAGUACGGCCGCAAGGUUAAAACUCAAAUGAAUUGACGGGGGCCCGCACAAGCGGUGGAGCAUGUGGUUUAAUUCGAUGCAACGCGAAGAACCUUACCUGGUCUUGACAUCCACGGAAGUUUUCAGAGAUGAGAAUGUGCCUUCGGGAACCGUGAGACAGGUGCUGCAUGGCUGUCGUCAGCUCGUGUUGUGAAAUGUUGGGUUAAGUCCCGCAACGAGCGCAACCCUUAUCCUUUGUUGCCAGCGGUCCGGCCGGGAACUCAAAGGAGACUGCCAGUGAUAAACUGGAGGAAGGUGGGGAUGACGUCAA